This is a long non-coding RNA of Drosophila mojavensis, 931 nucleotides long. RefSeq lists it as uncharacterized. The transcript has 4 exons. Lineage: Eukaryota; Metazoa; Arthropoda; Insecta; Diptera; Drosophilidae. The record is from RefSeq and is a predicted model, not a curated record.
AAACUUUGGUCAUUCGUCAGUGAACCGUCCGCGCUUAACGGUCUGAUCGCGGGCCUCUCUCGUUUUACAACUCGCAGCGUAGCGUCUUCUUCUUCGCCGAAGAACGAACGUUUUACAAGCCAGCAACAACAAAGAAAGAAAAGAAAAGUAAAGAAAAAGAAAUAUAUAGAAAGAAAAUUUAAAGCGUCGCCUCUUUGCAUUUUUUGUUUAUCUACGCGUGUGUGCGUGUGGCGCUGUGCCUGUGUGCGUGUUACCAUUUGCAUUUUCGGGCUUUCGUCUUGUUUUCGCCUCCAAUUGACGUCGCGUCUGCUUUGCACUGCGCGUGCAGUUCCGUUCCGUUCCGAUCAGUUCGGUUCGGUUCGCCUUCAAAAAUUAUUAUUACUAAUUGUUGUUGUUGUUCUCGCGCGUGCUAAGAAAGGCAACGAAAAGUGCAGCAAAAUUUCACUUAAGAAGUGCUCGAAAAAAGUGUUCGAAAAUAAAUAAGAAAAAAAAAUUAAAAGAAAAAACGGCACAAGUUCUGUUUGCCAAGUUAUUAACAUUGUGUUCAUAAUUCCGCUGUCUGCACAAAAUACAAAUAAAUAUUUACAGAAUACAAGCUCAAAUAGAAAGCAACCAAUUUUCACAGCUAACACAGCAACAACAACAACAACAGCAACAACAGCAGCAGCAAGAGCAACAAUAGCAACAGUAUUCAGCAUCAACUAGCGGAAUAAUACAUGAAACUUAAAUAAAAGAGCAUUUAAAGGCCAACAAUCGAUAGCCAAAUGCACUCCGUUCACAGCAGCGAGCCGAAAAAUCUCUGAGGCGGGCGAGCAGCAACACUUGAUAGCCACGAACUCAAGCCGAGAGCUAGCCAGACAGAGUGAGAGAGAGAGAGAGAGUGAGAGAGUGAGAGUGAGCGAGACAAACUACAUCAAAGCUAUUAAUUCAA